AUACGGAGGGUGCAAGCGUUACUCGGAAUCACUAGGCGUAAAGGGUGCGUAGGCGGAUAAUCAAGUCAAAAGUGAAAUCCCACGGCUUAACCGUGGAACUGCUUUCGAAACUGGUUAUCUAGAAUAUGGAAGAGGCAGAUGGAAUUAGUGGUGUAGGGGUAAAAUCCGUAGAGAUCACUAGGAAUACCGAUUGCGAAGGCGAUCUGCUGGGACAUUAUUGACGCUGAGGCAUGAAAGCGUGGGGAGCAAACAGGAUUAGAUACCCUAGUAGUCC
This 274-nucleotide ribosomal RNA is filed under the name uncultured bacterium. RNAcentral's name for it is "partial 16S ribosomal RNA". It matches the Rfam family "Bacterial small subunit ribosomal RNA", at positions 523 to 796 of the family's 1533-position model. The record is from RNAcentral.